RNAcentral lists this ribosomal RNA (253 nucleotides) under uncultured bacterium. RNAcentral's name for it is "partial 16S ribosomal RNA". It matches the Rfam family "Bacterial small subunit ribosomal RNA", at positions 524 to 776 of the family's 1533-position model. The record is from RNAcentral.
UACGAGGGGGGCGAGCGUUGUUCGGAAUUAUUGGGCGUAAAGGGUGCGUAGGCGGUUCCGCAAGUCCUGUGUGAAAUCUUCGGGCUCAACUCGAAGUCUGCACGGGAAACUGCGGGGCUUGAGUCCGGGAGAGGUGAGUGGAAUUCCUAGUGUAGAGGUGAAAUUCGUAGAUAUUAGGAAGAACACCAGUGGCGAAGGCGGCUCACUGGCCCGGUACUGACGCUCAUGUGCGAAAGCGUGGGGAGCAAACAGG